CAAAUUUCAUCCGGGCUGACAGAAUGGCACAGACAUGAGUUUCGUCGGAAUGUUGGUAGUCGACUGGACUUAUAAUGGGCUGACUUUUUUUGGACGAAUAUACGCCUCGGAUCAACUCCAAAAAAAUGUAAAAUUAUUCAGACAGAAACACCGUGAGGCGAAUUCGCGAGAGCGGGUACCGGCAAUAAAAGAUAACCCUCCCGUCUCAUCUCAGCGUAGUCUUUAAACGUACGACACUUCCUUGCGAAUAUUUCAUAUCGCGGGGAUGAAGGUUUACGACCCUACAACCUCCUCGUCUACAGAUAUACAGCAACCGGGGCGCGAGGAUCUUCCAGCAGCUUUGCCAAAACUGGUAGCUUCUGCAGGUAGGGGUCAUUCGGCGCUAUGAAAGCUUCGAGAAAUCCUAAUGUAAAUUCGGCUUUGACCGCGUCUAUGCAAAUGACAAAUGUCGUUACGAUCCCGUAAUGCUUUCGAAUGUACGUGACACGUACGACACGAGCCACAGGCUUGAAGAGAUCAGCUAGCCAAUCCUUCGUCGUUCUGUGAGAUGCAUGCGCCCUUCAAAAAGCUUCUGACCCUUGCAAUUUAUAGGAAUAAUCUCGCGCCCCUCACUCUCUGCUCCGACAUCUUUCUCUGAUGACGUGCUUUACCUCGAUUGAAGUUACUAAUUAAUUUCUAGUUUUUCAACAACUGAUCUCGUGUGCUCUCAAUAUCAUGAGGGUAUUGUGAUCUUGUGAUGUAACUUGACAUUCCACGCUCACGGUCAGCUUAGUUCGUGAAUAUAUUUUAGAGGCUUGUAUUACAUUGAAUUUCGACAAAGAAUGAGUGUUUGCUGGAAAAAUUUACGUAGAUGUUCGUAAAGGGGAUAGAAAUGAGAGUUUUAUUUUAUGGUUAUAUUCAAGAGGGAGCGACAGGGAUGAAUGACAAGGACGAGAUGUGCUAGAAGCUCCGAGGUCUCGCUUAUCGAAAAAAAAAGUUUUUUAGUUUUUUUUUUAUCCCCGGAUGAUUCGAAUUUUAUUAAAAAUUGCGUUUUCUUUUAGAUAAUUAUAGCAUAAGUACGGUAACUAAUUGAAAAAUGGGUUGAAAUCGCAUACCAGUUGCUGCUUUAGUCGAGAGUCCCAUGCGUCUCACCAUACGUGCGAACACUUCGGUGACUUUUUUAACGCUUUUUUUCUGUUAAACGGAGCGAAAACGCAACGACGUCGUCCACUUGUCUCGUUCCUUCAUUUGUCUAAUUGCUCAUACGUAUUUGCAAAAGUGUGACGAGAGAGUGCGGCAAACCUGAAAGUCGAGACGCGUGUCCGCUUUGUGCAACUGUUUCGCUCUUUCUCUUUCGUAUUUUUCCCUCGGCCAAAUCUUUUUCAUUUCACCCUUUCAUCCUACUGCAUCAUAACACUCCGGGAGACCGUUUUAAAAGGACUUAUAAUCACCCGAAUAUUAAAUCUGCUUCAUUAUGCAUGGGAGAAAAAGAAACGGAAAUACGACGAAUAGUUGCGGCAGCUCGCGCUAUUCGACUCCGCAUGUAGUCUUGCAGACACUUUUACUAUUGUGUAGCCACAGCUUUCGAAUGUGCUACGUCGAUUUUUAUUCUCAGCUUCAAACCACAAUGACGAUGUCAACAUUUUAUCAAAAUUCUUCUAACUUCUCGACGAUUUACGAAAGCAAAAAGGCUUUUAAGGAAAAAAAGCAUAAGAAAGUUUCUUCUGAUGAACACACGAAUGUUGUAAAAAUUGAACGAAUCGACCGACCGUGAUUCCAAGUACACGGAGCGAAAAAAAAUUGUAAAAAUUACUAAGACACCAUAGUGUAUUAGGCUUCUAUAUCACCCAUUUUGAAGUUUUUACCAAAAACAUUGUAAUUUCCAAGUAAAUUUGGAAUAAAAACUUUUAAAUCGCGUAUUUUGCUCUGAAAAAGGUUUAAACUGUUUCCCCUCCGUACUUCACCGAGGAAACAUUAUAAAAUUUAUGUUGACUCGAUGAUGAACUUUCGAGGAGCUCGAACACCGAUGAUCCGCCAAGGUGUUUACAAAUUUACUAUCGUACAUAGCAGAAUUUCAUUAAUUCGCGUCUAUUCACGUUCGAGGUCUAAGAUAGAUCCGAUAAAAGAGAGGAACGUCACAAUUGAUUGUUUAAUACGAGUAUGUCUACCGACCAAAGCACCGGGGAUACUGGCUACUGAUAUCGUGGUGGAUUCGAGUCAGCCUCACCUCUUGGCUCGCGUGGCCCCUCACGACCUUUAUUUUAGCCGCUCCUCUACCGGUAUAUAUCAUUGUAUAGCGCACGCAGACACAUACAUUUUGAUAGAUCGAGCAAACCGAGGAUGCACGCAUAAAAAGAGCGGGAACGAGAGGGAACGCGAGGAGCUCAACGAAUCCGACGAAACUGAAGGCGGACACGGGAGCGUCCUUCCGGUUCUGUAGUUCCAGCACCGGAUACCACUAUCCGUGUAUUCUGCACAGCUGAUUACAGCGAUUAAUCAACCUGAUUAAGUUUAGGAAAAACAAAAUACACUCUCACCAAAAACCAACAAUUUUUUCGUCCAUUUUUUGCAGACUCGUAGAACAAAAGAACGAAUUCAACAACAUGUAAAAAUCAUCAACUUUUUUUUAUCGGAACGAUAAAAUAAAAGGAACACUCCCCAAGAAAGUAAUCGGCUCGAAUCAAUGUUAGUAAUCAAUAUAAAUAAUACAGAGAAAAUUACCUGAAAUG
RNAcentral lists this long non-coding RNA (2708 nucleotides) under Venturia canescens. Its description in RNAcentral is "uncharacterized LOC122408659". The record is from RNAcentral. Lineage: Eukaryota; Metazoa; Arthropoda; Insecta; Hymenoptera; Ichneumonidae.